GACGAACGCUGGCGGCGUGCUUAACACAUGCAAGUGGAGCGACGAACCAGGCUUCGGCCUGGGGCAGAGCCGCGAACGGGUGAGUAACACGUGGGUAACCUGCCUCGAUGACCGGGACAACCCGGGGAAACCCGGGCUAAUACCGGAUGUGCUCUCCUCACAUACGUGAGGAAUGGAAAGGAAGCUUCGGCCUCCGCAUCGAGAUGGGCCCGCGGCCCAUUAGCUUGUUGGUGAGGUAACGGCCACCAAGGCUGCGAUGGUAGCUGGUCUGAGAGGACGAUCAGCCACACUGGGACUGAGACACGGCCCAGACUCCUACGGGAGGCAGCAGUGGGGAAUCUUGCGCAAUGCGCGAAAGCGUGACGCCAGCCAACGCCGCGUGGGGGAA
This 388-nucleotide ribosomal RNA is filed under the name uncultured bacterium. RNAcentral describes it as "bacterial SSU rRNA". It matches the Rfam family "Bacterial small subunit ribosomal RNA", at positions 28 to 409 of the family's 1533-position model. The record is from RNAcentral.